CAUGUUCAGCUCCCAGCCUUUUUGAAAGAGAAGGUUGCUUGGAGUUGGUGAUGGACGUUUUUGCCAGACCUUACCGUCUUGCUCGUCUUAAAUCGAUCAGUGGAAUCAUCUUUUGAGUCCGGUCUGACUAUGUGUGAUAAUUUGAUCACAUAGAAUGUGGGCUUGCCUACAACCGCAUCUUGAAGGACUCUGCUUCCAACACGGAAUGGUCUUGGACCAUCGUUAGCCUUUUUAAU
RNAcentral lists this unclassified non-coding RNA (236 nucleotides) under Tilletia puccinelliae. RNAcentral's name for it is "partial internal transcribed spacer 2". Lineage: Eukaryota; Fungi; Basidiomycota; Exobasidiomycetes; Tilletiales; Tilletiaceae. The record is from RNAcentral.